UACGUAGGGUGCGAGCGUUAAUCGGAAUUACUGGGCGUAAAGGGUGCGCAGGCGGCUUGCUAAGACAGGUGUGAAAGCCCCGAGCUUAACUUGGGAAUGGCGCUUGUGACUGGCAGGCUGGAGUGUGGCAGAGGGAGGUGGAAUUCCACGUGUAGCAGUGAAAUGCGUAGAUAUGUGGAGGAAUACCGAUGGCGAAGGCAGCCCCCUGGGAUAACACUGACGCUCAUGCACGACAGCGUGGGGAGCAAACAGG
RNAcentral lists this ribosomal RNA (253 nucleotides) under uncultured bacterium. RNAcentral describes it as "partial 16S ribosomal RNA". It matches the Rfam family "Bacterial small subunit ribosomal RNA", at positions 524 to 776 of the family's 1533-position model. The record is from RNAcentral.